This 366-nucleotide RNase P RNA is filed under the name uncultured Treponema sp. RNAcentral describes it as "Bacterial RNase P class A". It matches the Rfam family "Bacterial RNase P class A". From Rfam's summary of the family: Ribonuclease P (RNase P) is a ubiquitous endoribonuclease, found in archaea, bacteria and eukarya as well as chloroplasts and mitochondria. Its best characterised activity is the generation of mature 5'-ends of tRNAs by cleaving the 5'-leader elements of precursor-tRNAs. Cellular RNase Ps are ribonucleoproteins. Lineage: Bacteria; Pseudomonadati; Spirochaetota; Spirochaetia; Treponematales; Treponemataceae. The record is from RNAcentral.
UUCUGAUGAUAGAAAUUAGUCAUGAGGUAAAGUCCGGGCUCCGAUGGACAGGAUGCCGGGUAAUAACCGGGCGGCAAUGGCAGUUGUUUUUCAGGUAACUUUAAAACAUAACCCUUUGCCGACAGAUAGUGCAGCAGAAAUAUUACCGCCCUCAAGGGUAAGGGUGAAAAGGCGGUGUAAGAGACCACCGUGUUCCUGGUAACAGGAGCAGCUUGUAAACCUCAUCCGGAGCAAGUUCAAGUAGCAGUCGGUUGUCCAUGCUAUGGCUGCGGGUAGAAUGCUGAAGGCAUCUGGCAACAGGUGUUUCGGAUAGAUGAUUAUGGGUCAGUUUUCUGAUCACAGAACCCGGCUUACUUCCUGUCUUUU